RNAcentral lists this non-coding RNA (45 nucleotides) under Schistosoma curassoni. The record is from RNAcentral. Lineage: Eukaryota; Metazoa; Platyhelminthes; Trematoda; Strigeidida; Schistosomatidae.
AUCCAGCUGACGAGUCCCACAUGUGACGAGACCCGCGUCCUGGAU